RNAcentral lists this long non-coding RNA (204 nucleotides) under Mytilus galloprovincialis (Mediterranean mussel). The record is from RNAcentral. Lineage: Eukaryota; Metazoa; Mollusca; Bivalvia; Mytilida; Mytilidae.
AUAAUUCAUGCCUAGACUAAAUAAUAAAUCACGAACAUGUGAUACCCAGUUUCUCUUGCCAUUUGAGGCAUCAAUGCGCAGGAGGUUAUAAAUAUCAUAUACCAUAUUAGGUUGAUCAUAUAUUAUAUGCAACCAAAACUUUAUAAUUCUAUGUUUCCUUAAAAUGAACAUAGGUAGAUGACCAAGUUCACCACACAAAAAGGC